This 251-nucleotide unclassified non-coding RNA is filed under the name Hevea brasiliensis (rubber tree). The record is from RNAcentral. Lineage: Eukaryota; Viridiplantae; Streptophyta; Magnoliopsida; Malpighiales; Euphorbiaceae.
UCUCUCUCUCUCUCUCUCUCUCUCUAGAUCUCACCCACCUGAGCAUUUCCGUUAAUGUGCUACAGCUCUCCGCGAACCCACGACGUCUCUGUCUCAUUCAGUUAUAGGAAUACUGUUUUCAUUGCAUGAUUACGUAGGCCAUGGCCUCGGCUUGCGUUAACAACAUCAGCAUGUCGCCGGAGAACUUCUCGUCGGGAACUUACCCGUCCUACGGUUGGUUGAGUCCGCGAAUCUCUUUUAGCCGUGAAGAG